RNAcentral lists this ribosomal RNA (459 nucleotides) under uncultured bacterium. RNAcentral's name for it is "partial 16S ribosomal RNA". It matches the Rfam family "Bacterial small subunit ribosomal RNA", at positions 338 to 795 of the family's 1533-position model. The record is from RNAcentral.
CCUACGGGCGGCAGCAGUGAGGAAUAUUGGUCAAUGGGCGCGAGCCUGAACCAGCCAAGUCGCGUGAGGGAAGACGGUCCUAUGGAUUGUAAACCUCUUUUGUCGGGGAGCAAAAGACGCCACGCGUGGUGUUCCGAGAGUACCCGAAGAAAAAGCAUCUGCUAACUCCGUGCCAGCAGCCGCGGUAAUACGGAGGAUGCGAGCGUUAACCGGGUUUCGUGGGUUUAAAGGGUGCGCAGGCGGAAGAUCAAGUCAGCGGGAAAAUUGGGGGGCUCAACCUCGUCGAGCCGUUUAAACAGGUUUUCUUGAGUGAGCGAGAAGUAUGCGGAAUGCGUGGUGUAGCGGUGAAAUGCAUAGAUAUCACGCAGAACUCCGAUUGCGAAGGCAGCAUACCGGCGCUCAACUGACGCUCAUGCACGAAAGUGUGGGUAUCGAACAGGGUUAGAUACCCGUGUAGUC